Molecule: ribosomal RNA, 468 nt
Filed under: uncultured bacterium
Lineage: Bacteria
Description: partial 16S ribosomal RNA
Rfam family: Bacterial small subunit ribosomal RNA
Source: RNAcentral
GACGAACGCUGGCGGCGUGCUUAACACAUGCAAGUCGAACGGAAAGGCCCUGCUUUUGUUGGGUGCUCGAGUGGCGAACGGGUGAGUAACACGUGAGUAACCUGCCCUUGACUUUGGGAUAACUUCAGGAAACUGGGGCUAAUACCGGAUAGGAGCUCCUGCUGCAUGGUGGGGGUUGGUAAGUUUCGGCGGUUGGGGAUGGACUCGCGGCUUAUCAGCUUGUUGGUGGGGUAGUGGCUUACCAAGGCUUUGACGGGUAGCCGGCCUGAGAGGGUGACCGGCCACAUUGGGACUGAGAUACGGCCCAGACUCCUACGGGAGGCAGCAGUGGGGAAUAUUGCACAAUGGGCGGAAGCCUGAUGCAGAAACGCCGCGUGCGGGAUGAAGGCCUUCGGGUUAUAAACCGCUUUCGCAUGUGACGAAGCGUGAGUGACGGUAAUGGGUAAAGAAGCACCGGCUAACUACGUG